Molecule: ribosomal RNA, 253 nt
Filed under: uncultured bacterium
Lineage: Bacteria
Description: partial 16S ribosomal RNA
Rfam family: Bacterial small subunit ribosomal RNA
Source: RNAcentral
UACGGGGGGGGCAAGCGUUGUUCGGAAUUACUGGGCGUAAAGGGCUCGUAGGUGGCCAACUAAGUCAGACGUGAAAUCCCUCAGCUUAACUGGGGAACUGCGUCCGAUACUGGAUGGCUUGAGUUUGGGAGAGGGAUGCGGAAUUCCAGGUGUAGCGGUGAAAUGCGUAGAUAUCUGGAGGAACACCGGUGGCGAAGGCGGCUCACUGGCCCGAUACUGACGCUGAGGCACGAAAGCGUGGGGAGCAAACAGG